GUGCAGGCUUAGUCUAAAGGUUCCUUCGUUCUUUUUAAAUAUUUCCACUCUCUGAGUGUGAGUUCGACCCCGACCUUUGACGCAGUCCUGUAUUUUU
This 97-nucleotide vault RNA is filed under the name Clytia hemisphaerica. It matches the Rfam family "Vault RNA". From Rfam's summary of the family: This family of RNAs are found as part of the enigmatic vault ribonucleoprotein complex. The complex consists of a major vault protein (MVP), two minor vault proteins (VPARP and TEP1), and several small untranslated RNA molecules. It has been suggested that the vault complex is involved in drug resistance. The record is from Rfam by way of RNAcentral. Lineage: Eukaryota; Metazoa; Cnidaria; Hydrozoa; Leptothecata; Clytiidae.